AACGCACAUUGCGCCCAUUAGUAUUCUAGUGGGCAUGCCUGUCCGAGCGUCAUUUCACCCCUCAAGCCAUGGCUGCUUGGUGUUGGGGCGUCUCCGCGGCGGCUCAGAGCCGGCCGCGUAGGUCCCGAAAUACAGUGGCGGGCUCGCCAGGAUUCCGAGCGCAGUAGAAUCUCUCCGCUCAGGGCGCCUGGCGGGUUUUUAUCCGGCCGUAAAAACCCCCACCAUCCGUACAGGUUGACCUCGGAUCAGGUAGGAAUACCCGCUGAACUUAA
This 272-nucleotide unclassified non-coding RNA is filed under the name uncultured Sordariomycetes. RNAcentral's name for it is "sequence contains 5.8S rRNA gene, ITS2, 28S rRNA gene". The record is from RNAcentral. Lineage: Eukaryota; Fungi; Ascomycota; Sordariomycetes.